Perca fluviatilis (European perch) is the source of this 530-nucleotide long non-coding RNA. RefSeq lists it as uncharacterized. NCBI's taxonomy places the organism in Eukaryota, Metazoa, Chordata, Actinopteri, Perciformes, Percidae. The record is from RefSeq and is a predicted model, not a curated record. The transcript has 5 exons.
UUACAAAAAUGUCUGCUACGGAGCCAUAACGUGAGGUACAAGGGGCAACACCAGCGAGGAGUCUGAAGGAGAAGCUAGUGUCCAGGAAGAUUCAGCCACCGCUGACAAUCCAGUCUCAGCUGCAGCGGAGGAUGAAGGGAAGGAUGAAGAUGUGGCAGAAAACACAGAACUGACAUCUUCUGCAACAGAAAACAGUGUCAACAGCACCAAGGAACCUGAGGAUGGUGAAGCAGGCCGGGAGGCUUCCCCCCACCCCUGACACUGGAACAACAACAACUCAAACUGGAAAGAAUAAAAUAAAGGCACCUUGUUGUGCUAUAUCUCGCAGCAAGGGGUUUGUGUGCAGGACAGGACGCCCAUGAGUUCCUCGGCUGUGUGCUGAAUCAGCUGAGGUGUGUGUCCUGCAGGCCGAAGCAUUCAAUAAGGGCUUCAGUUACACCUGCCCUGUUGACGCUAACAUCACGUUCCAGAUGUCGAGCACCAGGACCUGCAAUAGGUCUUGAGAUGAUACAGACCAAGUUUGAAGUCCA